CCUACGGGAGGCAGCAGUGGGGAAUUUUGGACAAUGGGCGCAAGCCUGAUCCAGCUAUUCCGCGUGUGGGAUGACGGCCCUCGGGUUGUAAACCACUUUAGUAGAGAACGAAAAGGAGCUAUCGAAUAAAUAGCUCCGCUGACGGUACUCUAAGAAUAAGCACCGGCUAACUACGUGCCAGCAGCCGCGGUAAUACGUAGGGUGCGGGCGUUAAUCGGAAUUACUGGGCGUAAAGGGUGUGCAGGCGGCUAAGUAAGACAGAUGUGAAAUCCCCGGGCUUAACCUGGGAACCGCAUAUGUGACUGCUUGGCUAGAGUGCGUCAGAGGGAGGUGGAAUUCCACGUGUAGCAGUGAAAUGCGUAGAUAUGUGGAAGAACACCGAUGGCGAAGGCAGCCUACUGGGACGCAACUGACGCUCAUACACGAAAGCGUGGGGAGCAAACAGGAUUAGAUACCCGAGUAGUC
RNAcentral lists this ribosomal RNA (465 nucleotides) under uncultured bacterium. RNAcentral's name for it is "partial 16S ribosomal RNA". It matches the Rfam family "Bacterial small subunit ribosomal RNA", at positions 338 to 795 of the family's 1533-position model. The record is from RNAcentral.